UCCAGACUCCUACGGGAGGCAGCAGUGGGGAAUAUUGCACAAUGGGGGAAACCCUGAUGCAGCGACGCCGCGUGAGCGAAGAAGUAUUUCGGUAUGUAAAGCUCUAUCAGCAGGGAAGAAAAUGACGGUACCUGACUAAGAAGCCCCGGCUAACUACGUGCCAGCAGCCGCGGUAAUACGUAGGGGGCAAGCGUUAUCCGGAUUUACUGGGUGUAAAGGGAGCGUAGACGGCAGCGCAAGUCUGAAGUGAAAUCCCAUGGCUUAACCAUGGAACUGCUUUGGAAACUGAGCAGCUAGAGUGCAGGAGAGGUAAGCGGAAUUCCUAGUGUAGUGGUGAAAUGCGUAGAUAUUAGGAGGAACACCGGCGGCGAAGGCGGCCUGCUGGACCGUAACUGACGUUGAGGCUCGAAAGCGUGGGGAGCAAACAGGAUUAGAUACCCCCGUAC
RNAcentral lists this ribosomal RNA (446 nucleotides) under uncultured bacterium. RNAcentral's name for it is "bacterial SSU rRNA". It matches the Rfam family "Bacterial small subunit ribosomal RNA", at positions 330 to 793 of the family's 1533-position model. The record is from RNAcentral.